UCUACUAAUGUAAAUACUGUUUCUUGCGUGGCCAUUUCAUUUAUUAGUUCUGAGUAGCUUGUUUCUGUUUGUAUCUAAUUAUCAGUAGCAAUUGAUCAUUUCAGUUAACAUUUUAUAUAAAUGUUUUAAAUGAUGAUUUUUAAUUAUUUUAAGUCAUAUGGUAUGUUGUUUGUAAAACUCUUCUAAUUUUUUAAGUCAAGUUUCUUUUAAAUGAAAUUUUUUUUUACAUUUUUAAUUAGUUUUUUUGUUUUGUUUUUUGGUGGUGUUUGUGCUUGUUACAGAUAUUGAAGGUGGCAGUGUAAAGGUUGCGGUUCAAAGACCUCAACUAAACAUUAUAGUUUAAAACAUCCUCAAUAUGGGCGUAGGCACCCAUAUCAUUGUCCAUAUACUAGUUGUCCAUGUACAUUCAAUCAUGGAAUGCACUUAGAUCACACCUCUGUAGAGUCCAUAACAGAGACUCAUCUCAGCGAACGUCAUCAUUGGCUACAUUCAGAUGCCAAAGAAAUUAUUAUAUGUGGUUAAGCUCAAAGCACUGCUCCGGGUGUGUGUUCACGGUGUGUGUGUGUUCACUGCUGUGUGUGUGCACGUUGGAUGGGUUAAAUGCAGAGCACAAAUUCCGAGUAUGGGUCACCAUACUUGGCCGUAUGUCACUUCACUUUCACUUUCACUUUCACUUUCAAAUAUGACCCCAUUUAUGAGCUUGACCAAACACUUAAUAACUGCUGACCAUUAAUGUUACUUUGUUUCGUCCUAGUUCUUGUUACUGUGCACUUUUUUUGUUAACAAAGGUGUUUAUUUAUUUAUUUUUAUCUAUUACAGGAUAAGAUAUACACUGAACAAAAUUAUAAACGCAACACUUCAAUGCAAAGGAGAUGUGUUGCACUGCGUGAAGAAAAUGGUGGUCACACCAGAUACCGACUGGUUUUCGGACCCCCAAUACAGCAAAACUGCACAUUUUAGAGUGGCCUUUUAUUGUGGCCAGCCUAAGGCACACCUGUGCAAUAAUCAUGCUUCGGCAAAGGAGAAGUGCUUACUAACACAGAUUUAGACAGAUUUGUGAACAAUAUUUGAGAGAAAUAGGCCUUUUGUGUACAUAGAAAAAGUCUUAGAUCUUCGAGUUCAGCUCAUGAAAAAUGGGGGCAAAAACAAGUGUUGCGUUUAAAAUUUUGUUCAGUGUAUUUGUUCACAUUUCUCAUUCCAGUAUCUAAAUAUUCUUAAGAAUAAAAUGUUCUUUGAAAGAGUGUACUUGCAUUAUUAUGCUGUUUUAUCAUUAUACUGUCAUUAUGAAAUCAGAUAAAAUGGUCUUAAAAUGGCAAUUUCAUUUAUCGCAAAUAAUUUUGGUGCAAUAUAUCACACAACAAAAAGUAGUUAUCGUGACAGCCCUACUUGAGUGUACUCUGUAAUUGACUAAUUGCAUAAUCAUUAAUAAUGUUUGUAUAAGUAAAUGGUCGUUGUACUGUUCAUGUCAUCUACCCAUUUCACAUAAUUAUAGAAGUGUAAUAGGUUGAUGCUGCAUUUUUUCUAUUUAGAAUGAAACUGUUGAAAAGAAGAGGGAGUGCCUCCUCAGGGCACUUUGUGUCUAUCUGAAUGAAGAUCCGAGCAGUCUCUUCAAAGAGUAUCUGGCAGCAGUAACGGAUUCAGAUGACUGUGCUGCACAGAGGGACUUUUUUAACAAGUUGUCUUUGGCAUCUACAACAUUAAUGCUGAGGGAGGUGAUGCCACCACCACUCCAGUUGAUGUUGGAAUAGUGAAUGAGGGUGUUGAAGUGCUUCACGACUUGGGAGACAUCGCUUCUGCAUGUGCACUCUUAAUGGGUGUCAUAUAUGCAAUGAACCUGAACUGAAAACGUUCUUUGAGGUGCUUCAGAAAAUCUUCCUCCAGCUGGAUGCUACCAGACUCUCAACCAAGGUACAGAUGCUUAAAAACAAACUGUAUUGAACCAACAUUGAGCGUGUGGCGUUUAACAUUGAGGCCUGCUUUGCACUUGAAACCAUUUAAUUGAAAAACACUUGAAAGAUUAUAUACCUUUUUUCUUUUUUUCUUUUGUGUGUGACGCACCACUGGGUGACAUGCAUGUAAAGUUGUCCAGAGUUGUUGUUGUUGUUGUUUUUAAUAAAGGUAAAUAUAACCAACUUUAAAUGCUGCCACUCAUGGGUAUGCUUAACUUUUUUUCUCUUUUGUAAAACAGAAUUUGAUAAAGAGUUGUGUUGUUGAUGAACUCUUGUGUUGGUGAAUAAAGGAACUAAGAAAUGUUGA
Onychostoma macrolepis is the source of this 2256-nucleotide long non-coding RNA. RefSeq lists it as uncharacterized. The transcript has 2 exons. The record is from RefSeq and is a predicted model, not a curated record. Lineage: Eukaryota; Metazoa; Chordata; Actinopteri; Cypriniformes; Cyprinidae.